AAGGCUGCUGAGGUAGUUUACAAAGCUGCGAGUGCACUUUAUUCCAUCGCAGAUUUUAAACUAACUCGCCAGCCUA
This 76-nucleotide microRNA precursor is filed under the name Dracunculus medinensis (Guinea worm). RNAcentral describes it as "mir-84 microRNA precursor family". It matches the Rfam family "mir-84 microRNA precursor family". The record is from Rfam by way of RNAcentral. Lineage: Eukaryota; Metazoa; Nematoda; Chromadorea; Rhabditida; Dracunculidae.